CGGCAGGGGACGUAUGGAACGGCCUUCAUCAAGCACGAGGGACGUAGGGAUGUCGAGACAAUCACAAAGUGGAAGAAUGCUCUGGCAAAUAUUGCUGGGAUUUUGGCAUUUGAAUUGGAGGAUGUGGACAUGGGAUAAGUCUGACGGCUUGAUUAGUCUUGCUUUACUUGUCUAGCCUUCAGAAUGAAAAGAUCGGAGAAUGGGCUAGCGUAUUAACAUGCUCACCGUGCUCCUUCUAGAUCAAUUAACUUCUUGGGAUUUUUCUUUUCUUUAAUAGCAAUGCAUUUUCAUAUCUCGUCUUGUCUUCUCUCUAAUGUUGCAGUAAAAUCAGCACGUCCGUCUUCUAUCUAAAAAAAAUCUGUCUUUCAUUUUGUAGGUGUCAUGAAUUUCUAAAGAAUGUUGUUUCCCAACUUAGACAACUGUUAAAGAAUGGAUGAGCAAUGCCUGCCUAAAGAUUUAGUUGGAAUAAACAGAGAUGUGUGAGAUAUGAUGAAAAAACUUGGUGUCAGUUUUGAGAAUGGACAAGUUGUUGAAGGACAGAAGACGAUGGGGAAAUGCGUGGUUGCAAUAUGCGAUUUACCAGGGGUUGGCGAAAACACUCUCGCAAAGGUUGUAUACAACAAAAUCAGUUGCCUCUUUGAUGGUUGUAGUUUUCUUGAAAAUGUUCGAGAUGAUAUUGAACAGUAUGGAGUGGUAUCUCUGCAGAAGAAGUUAAUUCAAGACCUCAAUAGAAGAGAACCACCAGAUGUGAAAACGUCGAAUGACAGUACCACAUUGAUAGAAAGACUAUUCCGAACACGAAGAGUUCUCGUUGUCUUCGAUGAUGUGGACCACUUCAACCAAAUUAAACCAUUGCCUGAGGCGCUAACUUAGUUUGGUCUGGGAAGCCGGAUCAUCCUAACAAUCAGAAACAGAAAUGUCAUAGAAGGUUACGAGCAUGGAGAAAUCAAGGAACACGAGGUUUUACCUAUGAAUGAUGGUCAUGCUCUUGAACUCUUCUGUAAGCAUGCUUCUCGACUGAAUUUUCCCUUAGAAAAAUACGGUUCUCUGCCAAAAAAACAUUGUUUCUGCCGUCGGAAAUCUUCCUCCUUCUAUUGAAAUUGUGGUGCCGUAUUUGUGUAGGAAGAGCAGGAAGAGCGAAGCAAUAUGGAGAGAGACUUUGCAAAUAUUAGAAAGAGAACCGGGAAAAUAAGUAAAAGAUUUGUUGAUACAAAGCUAUGAUCUUUUGGAGGAAAAGACAAAACAAAUAUUCCUAGAUAUAGUAUGUUUCUUUGUAGGGGUUCAAAAGACAAUUCCUUUUUGCAUGUGGGAGGUUUGCGAAGGUUGCCCAAAUAGAGGUGUUGAUGAACUUCAGAAUGUGUCAUUUCUAAAAGUUGGAGAAGAAAAUGAGUUUUAGAUGCACAACCAAUUAAAAAUGUUGGGAAGAGGAAUUGUCAAGAACGAAAAUAUUAAAAGCCCUGAGGCACACAGCAGGCUGUGGGAUUAUGAAGAUGUCCAUAUAAUAUUAAGCGAAAGCGAGGGAAAAUCAAUACCUCAAGGUCUUUGAAACACCUGAUCCUGAAAGGAUGUCGAUUAUUAUUACCAACAAUUCAUGAAUCUAUAUCUAGCUUAGAGAAUUUAGUUAUCUUAAACAUUAACAAUUGUAGAUAUGUUAAAAAUUUGUCACAAGUACUGUAUUACUUAAAAGCAUUGAAGAAGCUUCUCAUUGAUGGAACUAGAAUUGAAAGUCUUCAUUUCAUGGAAGUCUUUCUGCCAGUCCUUGAAAUUCUCAAUGCUUGUGAAUGUGAACUUUUGAAAGAAGUCACUAAUUCCAUUGGAUUGUUAAAGAAUCUUCAGAAGCUUACUUUAAGAAAUUGCAAACAGCUAAGAGAACUUCCACAUUCCAUAGGAGAGCUUGUUCAGCUAAAAGAAAUGGAUCUGUCCUACAUGUCAAUUAAAAAAUUACCUUCUUCAUUCAAGGAUUUGAAAAAUCUUGAAGUUCUAAAGAUG
Molecule: long non-coding RNA, 1989 nt
Filed under: Eucalyptus grandis
Lineage: Eukaryota; Viridiplantae; Streptophyta; Magnoliopsida; Myrtales; Myrtaceae
Description: long non-coding RNA (EGRA_LNC007960)
Source: RNAcentral